RNAcentral lists this ribosomal RNA (400 nucleotides) under uncultured bacterium. RNAcentral's name for it is "partial 16S ribosomal RNA". It matches the Rfam family "Archaeal small subunit ribosomal RNA", at positions 473 to 873 of the family's 1478-position model. The record is from RNAcentral.
AUACCAGCACCCCGAGUGGUCGGGACGAUUAUUUGGCCUAAAGCAUCCGUAGCCGGUUUUACAAGUCCUCCGUUAAAUCCAGCUGCUUAACAGAUGGGCCGCGGAGGAUACUAUAGGACUAGGAGGCGGGAGAGGCAAGCGGUACUCAGUGGGUAGGGGUAAAAUCCUUUGAUCCAUUGAAGACCACCAGUGGCGAAGGCGGCUUGCCAGAACGCGCUCGACGGUGAGGGAUGAAAGCUGGGGGAGCAAACCGGAUUAGAUACCCGGGUAGUCCCAGCUGUAAACGAUGCAGACUCGGUGAUGGGCUAGCCUUGUGCCAGCCCAGUGCCGCAGGGAAGCCGUUAAGUCUGCCGCCUGGGGAGUACGGUCGCAAGACUGAAACUUAAAUGAAUUGGCGGGG